AUAUUUCUUAGGGACCAGAGGUGUUUUUAAUAAGAUAAUCUUUGAUUUUUUUUUUCUAAAAAUAAAGGAAACACUAACUUUAAACUUUAACAUCAACUUUUAAAUUAUGCGUGUUCAGCAUUGAUUGACCAUGGCUGUGAGUUGUAAAAUGUUUUCAUAUUAAGAAUGUAAUUAUUUCCUUAUUGUAUUUUUUAAAAGCUA
RNAcentral lists this long non-coding RNA (201 nucleotides) under Bos taurus (domestic cattle). Its description in RNAcentral is "long non-coding RNA NONBTAT022807". Lineage: Eukaryota; Metazoa; Chordata; Mammalia; Artiodactyla; Bovidae. The record is from RNAcentral.